CCCGCCCCCCCUCUCCUCCCGUUACCAUGGGGACGGCGGUUGCCGGGCGACGCAAACAAAGGACGCCGGACGCGGUGACGUCAGCGGCGCGGAACGCCGUCGCCAUGGCGACACGCAGUGUUUACUGCGCGCGGCGGCGCCGGCAGCGCCGCGUGGUGAUGGGAAAAGGGAGAAGCCGGGAGAGGGACAGCCCGGGAUAACCGGGUCUGGAGGCACCGGGACCGGGAUAACCCGGGACAACCGGGUCUGGGGGACCAGGAUAACCCGGGGCAACUGGGUCUGGAGGCACCGGGACCGGGAUAACCCGGGACAACUGGACCUGGAGGACUGGGAUGACCUGGGACAAACAGGUCUAGGGGACCAGGACCAGGAUUAACUGGGACAGCUGGAGCUGGAAGCACCAGGAUAAGCUGGGACAACCGGGUCUGGGGGCACCGGGACUGGGAUAACCCGGGACAACCCAGGCUGCAGGCACCAGGACUGGGAUAAACUGGGACAACUGGAUCUGGAGGACUGGGAUAACCUGGGAUAACCCGGGCUGCAGGCACUAGGACUGGGAUAACCCAGGACUACCAGGACUGGAGGCACUGGAACUUGGAUAACCCGGGACUACUGGACCUGGAGGACUGGGAUAACUGGACCCAGAGGCACUGGGAUAACUCAGGACAACCAGGACUGGAGACACUGGAACUUGGAUAACCAGGGAUUAAUGGACCUGGAGAACUGGGGCAACCCGGGAUAACCAGACCCAGAGGCACUGGGAUGGGGAUAACCUGGGAUAAACAGAGUUAGAAGCACUGGGACAACCCGGGAUAACUGGGACUGGAAACACUGGGACCAGGGGAACCGGGGACUGCCAGGCCUGGGGACACCUGGACUGGGAUAAUCUGGGAUAACUGGAGCUGGGGGCACCAGGAUAACCCGGGAUAACUGGAGCUGAAGGGACUGGAACAGGAAUAACCCAGGACAACCAGAGGAAACCAGACCUGGAGGCACCGGGACUGGGAUAAACUGGGAUAACUGGAGCUGAACGCACCGGGAUAAUCCGGGACAACUGGAUCUGGAGGCACCGGGACUGGGAUGAACUGGGACGACUGGAUCUGGAGGCACUGGGAUAACCCGGGACAACUGGAUCUGCAGGCACUGGGACUGGGAUGAACUGGGACGACUGGAUCUGCAGGCACUGGGACUGGGAUGAACUGGGACGACUGGAUCUGGAGGCACCAGGACUGGGAUAAACUGGGACAACUGGAUCUGGAGGCACUAGGAUAACCCGGGACAACUGGAUCUGGAGGAAGCAGGACUGGGAUAAACUGGGACAACUGGAUCUGGAGGCACCGGGACUGGGAUAAACUGGGACAGAUGGAUCUGGAGGC
Molecule: long non-coding RNA, 1376 nt
Filed under: Numida meleagris (helmeted guineafowl)
Lineage: Eukaryota; Metazoa; Chordata; Aves; Galliformes; Numididae
Description: lncRNA (ENSNMEG00000006344.1)
Source: RNAcentral